This 2121-nucleotide long non-coding RNA is filed under the name Homo sapiens (human). RNAcentral's name for it is "HSALNT0241212". The record is from RNAcentral. Lineage: Eukaryota; Metazoa; Chordata; Mammalia; Primates; Hominidae.
UGGGGGGUGGAGAGAGGAAGCUUUAUUCUUUCACUUUUUGGAAUAAAUUUUGUUGCUGUUUGUUCUUUGGAUCUACACUACUUUUAUGAGUUGUAACACUCACCGGGAAGGUCUGCAGCUUUGCUCCUGAAGCCAGCGAGACCACGAACCCACCGGGAGGAACGAACAACUCCAGAUGCGUCGACUUAAGAGCUGUAACACUCACUGCGAAAGUCUGCAGCUUUACUCCUGAGCUAGUGAGACCACGAACCCACCAGGAGGAAGAAACUCUGAACACAUCCGAACGUCAGAAAGAAUAAACUCUGGACACGCCGCCUUUAAGAACUGUAACACUUACCGCGAGGGUCUGCGGCUUCAUUCUUGAAGUCAGUGAGACCAAGAACCCACCAAUUCUGGACACAUUUUCGUGGUUUGAUAGCACGUUUCCUUUUAGCACUGAAUAAUGUCUGGCUAUUCCACAGUUUUUCAAAGCAGAUUAAUUAUGCCCUGGCUACCAACUUGCUUGAGUUGGGUGGAACAGAAAAACCCCCCCAAUCAAAUAAGCUACACGCACCAGAUGUAUUACUUACAGAUAGGCAGCAAGGGACAGCGUAGCCUAGGACUCAGCCAGUCCCCCGAGGCUCACAAAAGCUGCCUGGGGUGAAUGGAGUCUUGUCAGUGUGUAUGUCUUGCUUACCUCACUAGCAAACUGCCCUGGGUUUUGUAUCCUAGGGACAACAGGACUUGGUGGGCUAAAAUGUUGAAGGACGUCCUAUUUCUUUCUUGUUUUCUUUUUUUUUAAAGGAUAUUCUAUUUCUAGGAGGGCCUGGAAUAGAGCUCAGGCUGUGCUGUCCAGUCCCUCGUUAUCCCAGGAUGCUGCAUUCCCAGAACAAUCUACGGUUAUUCUUGAAUACUAUAAGUGAGAAAGCGGAGAACUGGGUGGCCCAAGGCCACCCGGAGAACUGUCUGCCAAUCAUCAAUAGAAUUUCAGACCAAUUGUCUUGAAUGCAACAAAGCUGCUAAAUCCUCUCAACUCCCCUGGACCCAGCACUUUGCAUGGGAAGAGAAUGGAACCAGGAUGAUUAUUUCCUGUAGCCAUCCACAUGGCAUCGAAGGAGGAAAGGUGUAACAAGCCAUUUUGUCCAUUUGAAGCAAUUACUCAAACUGCUCCCACCAAGACCAGAAUGUUUCAAUGAUGUCUGUGAGCAGGCACCAGUUAGGAGGUUAUUAUAAUAAUCUGGAACGUAAGGACAAGAACCUGAACUGGAGAGACAGCAGUGAACAGAUAAGAGAAAGCAAGAGACAGAAACAAGGUAUUUUCAUGAAAAAGAGCAAUAUCACUUGGAAACUAAAUAGAGGGAAAGGAGAGAAGGAUUAAUCAAUGCCAAGGCCGUUGUUGGAUGUAAUCAGGUUAUCUCCAGUUGGAUCACCCCAUGGGCAGCUACAACCAACGAAUCUAAAACUUAACAGAUUUAGGCCACCUGUUACAUUCAGUGGUUCUGUCACUCCCUCAGCCAUCUGCAUUUGAAACUUUAGAUGGUCUUUGAUUCUACUCAUAUGUUCUUUCUUUCCUUUUUUUUUCUUUCUUUCUUUUUUUUUUUUUUUUUUUUUUUUUUUUUUUUUUUGAGAUGGAGUCUUGCUCUGUCACCCAGGCAGGAGUGCAGUGGUAUGAUCUUGGCUCACUGCAACCUCUGUCUCCCAGGUUCAAGAGAUUCUCCUGCCUCGGCUUCCCGAGUAGCUGGGACUACAGGUGUGUACCACCACACCCAGCUAAUUUUUGUAUUUUUAGCAGAGACAGGGUUUCACCAUGUUGGCCAGGCUGGUCUUGAACUCCUGACUUCAAAUGAUCCGCCUGCCUUGCAAGUGUUAGGAUUACAGGCGUGAGCCACUGCGCCCGGCCCAUUUGCUCUUUCUUAGUUCCAGUAAAUCACCAAAUCCUACUGAUGUUUCCUUUAAAAAUGUCUCUUAAAAUACACCCCAUUCUUUUAUUUCUAGUGCUCCUACACUGGUUUAGGAUCUCAGAGAUUCUAGCCAGCACUCGUCUUAGUUCUGCCUUCAGCCUUCUCUGCUUCAAUCCAUGCCACACACAGCUGCCACAUAAUCUUGCCAAAACACCACUUUAAACAUGCUACCUCACUUGCC